GGCUCAACCUGGGAACUGCAUCUGAUACUGGCAAGCUUGAGUCUCGUAGAGGGGGGUAGAAUUCCAGGUGUAGCGGUGAAAUGCGUAGAGAUCUGGAGGAAUACCGGUGGCGAAGGCGGCCCCCUGGACGAAGACUGACGCUCAGGUGCGAAAGCGUGGGGAGCAAACAGGAUUAGAUACCCUGGUAGUCCACGCCGUAAACGAUGUCGACUUGGAGGUUGUGCCCUUGAGGCGUGGCUUCCGGAGCUAACGCGUUAAGUCGACCGCCUGGGGAGUACGGCCGCAAGGUUAAAACUCAAAUGAAUUGACGGGGGCCCGCACAAGCGGUGGAGCAUGUGGUUUAAUUCGAUGCAACGCGAAGAACCUUACCUGGUCUUGACAUCCACGGAAGUUUUCAGAGAUGAGAAUGUGCCUUCGGGAAC
Molecule: ribosomal RNA, 422 nt
Filed under: Escherichia coli
Lineage: Bacteria; Pseudomonadati; Pseudomonadota; Gammaproteobacteria; Enterobacterales; Enterobacteriaceae
Description: bacterial SSU rRNA
Rfam family: Bacterial small subunit ribosomal RNA
Source: RNAcentral